RNAcentral lists this ribosomal RNA (413 nucleotides) under uncultured prokaryote. Its description in RNAcentral is "bacterial SSU rRNA". It matches the Rfam family "Bacterial small subunit ribosomal RNA", at positions 505 to 918 of the family's 1533-position model. The record is from RNAcentral.
GUGUCAGCAGCCGCGGUAAGACGGAGGGGGCUAGCGUUGUUCGGAAUUACUGGGCGUAAAGCGCGCGUAGGCGGUUUGCCAAGUUGAGGGUGAAAUCCCGGGGCUCAACCUCGGAACGGCCUUCAAAACUGGCAGGCUUGAGUGCGGAAGAGGAGAGUGGAAUUCCCAGUGUAGAGGUGAAAUUCGUAGAUAUUGGGAAGAACACCGGUGGCGAAGGCGGCUCUCUGGUCCGGCACUGACGCUGAGCCGCGAAAGCGUGGGGAGCAAACAGGAUUAGAUACCCUGGUAGUCCACGCCGUAAACGAUGAGUGCCAGACGUCGGGCGGCAUGCCGCUCGGUGUCGCAGCUAACGCGUUAAGCACUCCGCCUGGGGAGUACGGCCGCAAGGUUAAAACUUAAAGGAAUUGACGGGG